GACGAACGCUGGCGGCGUGCUUAACACAUGCAAGUCGAACGGAAAGGCCCUGCUUUUUUGGGGUGCUCGAGUGGCGAACGGGUGAGUAACACGUGAGUAACCUGCCCUUGACUUUGGGAUAACUUCAGGAAACUGGGGCUAAUACCGGAUAGGAGCUCCUGCUGCAUGGUGGGGGUUGGAAAGUUUCGGCGGUUGGGUAUGGACUCGCGGCUUAUCAGCUUGUUGGUGGGGUAGUGGCUUACCAAGGCUUUGACGGGUAGCCGGCCUGAGAGGGUGACCGGCCACAUUGGGACUGAGAUACGGCCCAGACUCCUACGGGAGGCAGCAGUGGGGAAUAUUGCACAAUGGGCGGAAGCCUGAUGCAGCAACGCCGCGUGCGGGAUGACGGCCUUCGGGUUGUAAACCGCUUUCGCCUGUGACGAAGCGUGAGUGACGGUAAUGGGUAAAGAAGCACCGGCUAACUACGUG
This 468-nucleotide ribosomal RNA is filed under the name uncultured bacterium. RNAcentral describes it as "partial 16S ribosomal RNA". It matches the Rfam family "Bacterial small subunit ribosomal RNA", at positions 28 to 507 of the family's 1533-position model. The record is from RNAcentral.